This 72-nucleotide transfer RNA is filed under the name Negombata magnifica. RNAcentral describes it as "transfer RNA-Arg (UCU)". It matches the Rfam family "tRNA". Rfam says of the family: Transfer RNA (tRNA) molecules are approximately 80 nucleotides in length. Their secondary structure includes four short double-helical elements and three loops (D, anti-codon, and T loops). Lineage: Eukaryota; Metazoa; Porifera; Demospongiae; Poecilosclerida; Latrunculiidae. The record is from RNAcentral. RNAcentral also lists the same sequence under 1 other name.
AUGUUCAUAGCUCAAUGGUAGAGCAUUUACCUUCUAAGUAAAAGAUUAUAGGUUCGAUUCCUGUUGAAUAUA